This 431-nucleotide ribosomal RNA is filed under the name Natrialba hulunbeirensis. RNAcentral describes it as "bacterial SSU rRNA". It matches the Rfam family "Archaeal small subunit ribosomal RNA", at positions 146 to 576 of the family's 1478-position model. Lineage: Archaea; Methanobacteriati; Methanobacteriota; Halobacteria; Halobacteriales; Natrialbaceae. The record is from RNAcentral.
CUAAUCCGGAAUAGGGCUCUCAUCCUGGAGUGGAGAGAGCCUGAAACGCUCCGGCGCUAUAGGAUGUGGCUGCGGCCGAUUAGGUAGACGGUGGGGUAACGGCCCACCGUGCCAGUAAUCGGUACGGGUUGUGAGAGCAAGAGCCCGGAGACGGUAUCUGAGACAAGAUACCGGGCCCUACGGGGCGCAGCAGGCGCGAAACCUUUACACUGCACGCCAGUGCGAUAAGGGGACUCCAAGUGCGAGGGCAUAUAGUCCUCGCUUUUUGCGACCGUAAGGUGGUCGCGGAAUAAGUGCUGGGCAAGACCGGUGCCAGCCGCCGCGGUAAUACCGGCAGCACGAGUGAUGACCGCUGUUAUUGGGCCUAAAGCGUCCGUAGCUGGCCGCACAAGUCUAUCGGGAAAUCUCUCCGCUUAACGGAGAGGCGUCCG